CAGUCGCCGCGGUAAUACGUAGGGUCCGAGCGUUGUCCGGAAUUAUUGGGCGUAAAGGGCUCGUAGGCGGUUUGUUGCGUCGGGAGUGAAAACACCAGGCUUAACUUGAUGCUUGCUUUCGAUACGGGCAGACUUGAGGCAUGCAGGGGAGAACGGAAUUCCUGGUGUAGCGGUGAAAUGCGCAGAUAUCAGGAGGAACACCGGUGGCGAAGGCGGUUCUCUGGGCAUGUUCUGACGCUGAGGAGCGAAAGUGUGGGGAGCGAACAGGAUUAGAGACCCGCGUAGUCCCUGUCUCUUAUAC
Molecule: ribosomal RNA, 301 nt
Filed under: uncultured bacterium
Lineage: Bacteria
Description: partial 16S ribosomal RNA
Rfam family: Bacterial small subunit ribosomal RNA
Source: RNAcentral